RNAcentral lists this ribosomal RNA (253 nucleotides) under uncultured bacterium. Its description in RNAcentral is "partial 16S ribosomal RNA". It matches the Rfam family "Bacterial small subunit ribosomal RNA", at positions 524 to 776 of the family's 1533-position model. The record is from RNAcentral.
UACGAAGGUGGCAAGCGUUGUUCGGAAUGACUGGGCGUAAAGCGCGCGUAGGCGGAUCAGGAAGUUGGGGGUGAAAUCCCGGGGCUCAACCCCGGAAUGGCCUUCAAAACUCCUGGUCUUGAGUUCGAGAGAGGUGAGUGGAAUUCCGAGUGUAGAGGUGAAAUUCGUAGAUAUUCGGAGGAACACCAGUGGCGAAGGCGGCUCACUGGCUCGACACUGACGCUGAGGUGCGAAAGCGUGGGGAGCAAACAGG